AAGGAUUUAAGUUAACUUAUAAACUAGUAACCUUCAAAGUUAUCAAUAUUAUUAUUAUUAAGCCUUA
Molecule: transfer RNA, 67 nt
Filed under: Lucidina sp. FM13
Lineage: Eukaryota; Metazoa; Arthropoda; Insecta; Coleoptera; Lampyridae
Description: tRNA-Trp
Source: RNAcentral